This 167-nucleotide microRNA precursor is filed under the name Brassica napus (rape). RNAcentral's name for it is "pre miRNA MIR167_1". It matches the Rfam family "MIR167 microRNA precursor family". The record is from RNAcentral. Lineage: Eukaryota; Viridiplantae; Streptophyta; Magnoliopsida; Brassicales; Brassicaceae.
CACCAGUAGCAGUUAAGCUGCCAGCAUGAUCUUGUCUUCCUCUCCUAAGCUUCAUAUAUAUAACUAAGCUAAGGAAAUAAAUAAUUUUCUCGUUCUCAUAAGAUUAUAUGAUAAUAGCUUAGAGAGAGAGAGACUAGGUCAUGCUGGUAGCUUCACCUGCUAAUGAC